UGGGGAAUUUUGGACAAUGGGCGAAAGCCUGAUCCAGCAAUGCCGCGUGUGUGAAGAAGGCCUUCGGGUUGUAAAGCACUUUUGUCCGGAAAGAAAUGGCUCUGGUUAAUACCUGGGGUCGAUGACGGUACCGGAAGAAUAAGGACCGGCUAACUACGUGCCAGCAGCCGCGGUAAUACGUAGGGUCCAAGCGUUAAUCGGAAUUACUGGGCGUAAAGCGUGCGCAGGCGGUUGUGCAAGACCGAUGUGAAAUCCCCGAGCUUAACUUGGGAAUUGCAUUGGUGACUGUACGGCUAGAGUGUGUCAGAGGGGGGUAGAAUUCCACGUGUAGCAGUGAAAUGCGUAGAGAUGUGGAGGAAUACCGAUGGCGAAGGCAGCCCCCUGGGAUAACACUGACGCUCAUGCACGAAAGCGUGGGGAGCAAACAGGAUUAGAUACCCUGGUAGUCCACGCCCUAAACGAUGUCAACUAGUUGUUGGGGAUUCAUUUCCUUAGUAACGUAGCUAACGCGUGAAGUUGACCGCCUGGGGAGUACGGUCGCAAGAUU
RNAcentral lists this ribosomal RNA (547 nucleotides) under uncultured bacterium. RNAcentral describes it as "partial 16S ribosomal RNA". It matches the Rfam family "Bacterial small subunit ribosomal RNA", at positions 355 to 895 of the family's 1533-position model. The record is from RNAcentral.